This 496-nucleotide long non-coding RNA is filed under the name Medicago truncatula (barrel medic). RNAcentral's name for it is "lncRNA gene4604". The stretch from base 1 to 161 matches the Rfam family "U1 spliceosomal RNA". Lineage: Eukaryota; Viridiplantae; Streptophyta; Magnoliopsida; Fabales; Fabaceae. The record is from RNAcentral.
UUACUUACCUGGAUGGGGUCAAUGGGUGAUCAUGAAGGCCCAUGGCCUAGGCAAGUGACCUCCAUUGCACUUAGGAGGGGUGCUUGCCUAAGGUCUACCCAAGUGGUGGAGCCUACAUCAUAAUUUGUUGCUGUGGGGGCCUGCGUUCGCGCGGCCCCUUCCAAUUUUAGUAUAUUUUUUUUGAAUAAUUAGUAGUUAAUGUUGGUAAAUUUUGUUUAAUUAGUUUAUUAGAGAUGGGAGAGUGAUAUUGUUAUUUUAGUUGAUUUAGUCCAAAACCCAUGGAAUUUAUAAUCCAAAUCAAAGAACAUAUUGGCAAAAGGUUUGCACCUUAACUAUUGAUUCCAACAGUUUCCGAUCUCAACUCAAAUUUUCAUCAACUAAGCCUACAAUGACAAUAAAUCUUUAAAUGAAAAGUUGAGAUCCUCACCAUCAUCUUCAUUCAUCAAUCAAAAGAGCUUCCAAAAUUAAAUCUUAAAACAUAAAUCUUUCUCUAUUC